This 769-nucleotide ribosomal RNA is filed under the name uncultured bacterium. Its description in RNAcentral is "bacterial SSU rRNA". It matches the Rfam family "Bacterial small subunit ribosomal RNA", at positions 8 to 794 of the family's 1533-position model. The record is from RNAcentral.
AGAGUUUGAUCCUGGCUCAGGACGAACGCUGGCGGCGUGCUUAACACAUGCAAGUCGAACGGAAAGGCCCUUCGGGGUACUCGAGUGGCGAACGGGUGAGUAACACGUGGGUGAUCUGCCCUGCACUUUGGGAUAAGCCUGGGAAACUGGGUCUAAUACCGAAUAGGACCACGCGCUUCAUGGUGUGUGGUGGAAAGCUUUUGCGGUGUGGGAUGGGCCCGCGGCCUAUCAGCUUGUUGGUGGGGUAAUGGCCUACCAAGGCGACGACGGGUAGCCGGCCUGAGAGGGUGACCGGCCACACUGGGACUGAGAUACGGCCCAGACUCCUACGGGAGGCAGCAGUGGGGAAUAUUGCACAAUGGGCGCAAGCCUGAUGCAGCGACGCCGCGUGAGGGAUGACGGCCUUCGGGUUGUAAACCUCUUUCAAUAGGGACGAAGCGCAAGUGACGGUACCUAUAGAAGAAGCACCGGCCAACUACGUGCCAGCAGCCGCGGUAAUACGUAGGGUGCGAGCGUUGUCCGGAAUUACUGGGCGUAAAGAGCUCGUAGGUGGUUUGUCGCGUUGUUCGUGAAAACUCACAGCUUAACUGUGGGCGUGCGGGCGAUACGGGCAGACUAGAGUACUGCAGGGGAGACUGGAAUUCCUGGUGUAGCGGUGGAAUGCGCAGAUAUCAGGAGGAACACCGGUGGCGAAGGCGGGUCUCUGGGCAGUAACUGACGCUGAGGAGCGAAAGCGUGGGGAGCGAACAGGAUUAGAUACCCUGGUAGU